CCUACGGGAGUCUGCAGUGAGGAAUAUUGGUCAAUGGACGAGAGUCUGAACCAGCCAAGUAGCGUGAAGGAUGACUGCCCUAUGGGUUGUAAACUUCUUUUAUAUGGGAAUAAAAUGUUCCACGUGUGGGAUUUUGUAUGUACCAUAUGAAUAAGGAUCGGCUAACUCCGUGCCAGCAGCCGCGGUAAUACGGAGGAUCCGAGCGUUAUCCGGAUUGAUUGGGUUUAAAGGGAGCGUAGGUGGAUUGUUAAGUCAGUUGUGAAAGUUUGCGGCUCAACCGUAAAAUUGCAGUUGAAACUGGCAGUCUUGAGUACAGUAGAGGUGGGCGGAAUUCGUGGUGUAGCGGUGAAAUGCUUAGAUAUCACGAAGAACUCCGAGUGCGAAGGCAGCUCACUGGACUGCAACUGACACUGAGGCUCGAAAGUGUGGGUAUCAAACAGGAUUAGAUACCCCAGUAGUC
RNAcentral lists this ribosomal RNA (460 nucleotides) under uncultured bacterium. RNAcentral describes it as "partial 16S ribosomal RNA". It matches the Rfam family "Bacterial small subunit ribosomal RNA", at positions 338 to 795 of the family's 1533-position model. The record is from RNAcentral.